UAUUCUGCCCCAUGGGGAAGGAUGAGAAGCUUCGACUAAGGUUCGACUCGAGCGCCAGCGAGAGAACGUUGCCGCAGGCAACGGCCCGAAGGGCGAAGCGCUUUAGCGCCGAGUAAUCCUUCCCCCACCACUG
RNAcentral lists this small RNA (133 nucleotides) under Klebsiella pneumoniae subsp. pneumoniae. Its description in RNAcentral is "RtT sRNA". It matches the Rfam family "RtT RNA". Rfam says of the family: This family represents a bacterial cis-regulatory element known as RtT RNA. The exact function of RtT is unknown although it is thought that it may be involved in changing the cellular response in relation to amino acid starvation. Lineage: Bacteria; Pseudomonadati; Pseudomonadota; Gammaproteobacteria; Enterobacterales; Enterobacteriaceae. The record is from RNAcentral.